RNAcentral lists this ribosomal RNA (491 nucleotides) under uncultured bacterium. RNAcentral describes it as "partial 16S ribosomal RNA". It matches the Rfam family "Bacterial small subunit ribosomal RNA", at positions 29 to 506 of the family's 1533-position model. The record is from RNAcentral.
AGUGAACGCUGGCGGUAGGCCUAACACAUGCAAGUCGAACGGCAGCACAGUAAGAGCUUGCUCUUACGGGUGGCGAGUGGGGGACGGGUGAGGAAUACAUCGGAAUCUAAUUUUUCGUGGGGGAUAACGUAGGGAAACUUACGCUAAUACCGCAUAAGACCUACGGGUGAAAGCAGGGGAUCUUCGGACCUUGCGCGAUUGAAUGAGCCGAUGUCGGAUUAGCUAGUUGGCGGGGUAAAGGCCCACCAAGGCGACGAUCCAUCACUGGUCUGAGAGGAUGAUGAGCCACACUGUAACUGACACACGGUCCAAACUCCUACGGACGCCACCGUGCAGCAAUAUUAAACAAUGCGCGCAAGCCUGAUCCAGCCAUACCGCGUGGGUGAAGAAGUCCUUCGGGUUGUAAAGCCCUUUUGUUGGGAAAGAACAGCCUCAGGUUAAUACCCCACUUUUCUAACGGUACCCAAAGAAUAAGCACCGGCUAACUUCGU